AUAUCUCUCUGUACGGGAAGGAUGAGAGGCUUCGACUAAGGUUCGAUUCGAGCGAAAGCGAGAAAGCGUUGCCGCAGGCAACGACCCGAAGGGCGAAGCGCGCAGCGCUGAGUCAUCCUUCCCCCACCACCA
Molecule: small RNA, 132 nt
Filed under: Salmonella enterica
Lineage: Bacteria; Pseudomonadati; Pseudomonadota; Gammaproteobacteria; Enterobacterales; Enterobacteriaceae
Description: RtT sRNA
Rfam family: RtT RNA
About the family: This family represents a bacterial cis-regulatory element known as RtT RNA. The exact function of RtT is unknown although it is thought that it may be involved in changing the cellular response in relation to amino acid starvation.
Source: RNAcentral